RNAcentral lists this ribosomal RNA (426 nucleotides) under uncultured bacterium. Its description in RNAcentral is "bacterial SSU rRNA". It matches the Rfam family "Bacterial small subunit ribosomal RNA", at positions 506 to 930 of the family's 1533-position model. The record is from RNAcentral.
UGCCAGCAGCCGCGGUAAUACAGAGGGUGCGAGCGUUGUCCGGAAUCACUGGGCGUAAAGGGCGCGUAGGUGGCUUGGUAAGCGUGCGGUGAAAGCUCGGGGCUCAACCCCGAGUCGGCCGUGCGAACUGCCGAGCUAGAGCAUGGUAGAGGCAGGUGGAAUUCCGGGUGUAGCGGUGGAAUGCGUAGAGAUCCGGAAGAACACCGGUGGCGAAGGCGGCCUGCUGGGCCAUUGCUGACACUGAGGCGCGACAGCGUGGGGAGCAAACAGGAUUAGAUACCCUGGUAGUCCACGCCGUAAACGAUGGGCACUAGGUGCUUGGGGGAGCGACCCCCUGAGUGCCGGCGCUAACGCAUGAAGUGCCCCGCCUGGGGAGUACGGCCGCAAGGCUGAAACUCAAAGGAAUUGACGGGGGCCCGCACAAGU